RNAcentral lists this ribosomal RNA (375 nucleotides) under uncultured bacterium. RNAcentral describes it as "bacterial SSU rRNA". It matches the Rfam family "Bacterial small subunit ribosomal RNA", at positions 521 to 896 of the family's 1533-position model. The record is from RNAcentral.
UAAUACGUAGGGUGCAAGCGUUAAUCGGAAUUAUUGGGCGUAAAGGGUGCGUAGGCGGUUUGUUAAGACGGAUGUGAAAUCCCUGGGCUCAACCUGGGAACUGCAUACGUGACUGGCAGACUAGAGUAUGGCAGAGGGAGGUGGAAUUCCACGUGUAGCAGUGAAAUGCGUAGAUAUGUGGAGGAACACCGAUGGCGAAGGCAGCCUCCUGGGCCAAUACUGACGCUGAGGCACGAAAGCGUGGGGAGCAAACAGGAUUAGAUACCCUGGUAGUCCACGCCCUAAACGAUGUCAACUGGUUGUUGGGGAUAGCUAUCCUUAGUAACGAAGCUAACGCGUGAAGUUGACCGCCUGGGGAGUACGAUCGCAAGAUUA